GGUCGCGUCCUAUCAGGUAGUCGGCGGGGUAACGGCCCACCGAGCCUACGACGGGUAGCCGGCCUGAGAGGGCGACCGGCCACAUUGGGACUGAGAUACGGCCCAGACUCCUACGGGAGGCAGCAGUGGGGAAUAUUGCACAAUGGGCGCAAGCCUGAUGCAGCGACGCCGCGUGCGGGAUGACGGCCUUCGGGUUGUAAACCGCUUUUGAUCGGGAGCAAGCCUUCGGGUGAGUGUACCUUUCGAAUAAGCACCGGCUAACUACGUGCCAGCAGCCGCGGUAAUACGUAGGGUGCAAGCGUUAUCCGGAAUUAUUGGGCGUAAAGGGCUCGUAGGCGGUUCGUCGCGUCCGGUGUGAAAGUCCAUCGCUUAACGGUGGAUCUGCGCCGGGUACGGGCGGGCUGGAGUGCGGUAGGGGAGACUGGAAUUCCCGGUGUAACGGUGGAAUGUGUAGAUAUCGGGAAGAACACCAAUGGCGAAGGCAGGUCUCUGGGCCGUUACUGACGCUGAGGAGCGAAAGCGUGGGGAGCGAACAGGAUUAGAUACCCUGGUAGUCCACGCCGUAAACGGUGGAUGCUGGAUGUGGGGCCCGUUCCACGGGUUCCGUGUCGGAGCUAACGCGUUAAGCAUCCCGCCUGGGGAGUACGGCCGCAAGGCUAAAACUCAAAGAAAUUGACGGGGGCCCGCACAAGCGGCGGAGCAUGCGGAUUAAUUCGAUGCAACGCGAAGAACCUUACCUGGGCUUGACAUGUUCCCGACAGCCGUAGAGAUAUGGCCUCCCUUCGGGGCGGGUUCACAGGUGGUGCAUGGUCGUCGUCAGCUCGUGUCGUGAGAUGUUGGGUUAAGUCCCGCAACGAGCGCAACCCUCGCCCUGUGUUGCCAGCACGUCAUGGUGGGAACUCACGG
RNAcentral lists this ribosomal RNA (906 nucleotides) under uncultured organism. Its description in RNAcentral is "bacterial SSU rRNA". It matches the Rfam family "Bacterial small subunit ribosomal RNA", at positions 229 to 1144 of the family's 1533-position model. The record is from RNAcentral.